This 253-nucleotide ribosomal RNA is filed under the name uncultured prokaryote. RNAcentral describes it as "partial 16S ribosomal RNA". It matches the Rfam family "Bacterial small subunit ribosomal RNA", at positions 524 to 776 of the family's 1533-position model. The record is from RNAcentral.
UACGUAGGGGGCAAGCGUUAUCCGGAUUUACUGGGUGUAAAGGGAGCGCAGGCGGCAGGGCAAGUCUGAUGUGAAAGCCCGGGGCUCAACCCCGGGACUGCAUUGGAAACUGCUCAGCUAGAGUGUCGGAGAGGUAAGUGGAAUUCCUAGUGUAGCGGUGAAAUGCGUAGAUAUUAGGAGGAACACCAGUGGCGAAGGCGGCUUACUGGACGACAACUGACGCUGAGGCUCGAAAGCGUGGGGAGCAAACAGG